Molecule: ribosomal RNA, 396 nt
Filed under: Triticum aestivum (bread wheat)
Lineage: Eukaryota; Viridiplantae; Streptophyta; Magnoliopsida; Poales; Poaceae
Description: partial small subunit ribosomal RNA
Source: RNAcentral
AUGCCUCCAGGAAGGGUGAUGGCCCCAGCUCCAGGACAAAAAAAGAGGAUCCUGGAACCUGAUGAACCUGCCCAUGAUAGAGUCACAAAGCAGAAAGCAAAGAUGGCGACUACGACGGACCAUCAGGUAAGUCUGCUGCACAUGGACUCUGACACCUUGGUGCAAAUGGGUGAUGAGUUGCCGCCCAUGGAUGAAGAUGCAAUGACUACCAAGACUAGACUUAGAAAGGGCAAAGGGCUAGAGAGAAUCACCAAGUCGCUUGGUAGCAAGGUGCCUAUCCAAAUUGCCGAAGGGAUGAAGCGUCCAGAGAAGCCUCUGCAGACAGCAAAGCUUGCUUCUGAGUGUGGACUCGUUGCAAGAAUCCAUCUUCCGGUUCUUCCUCACUUCAAGCUAUAG